RNAcentral lists this ribosomal RNA (451 nucleotides) under uncultured bacterium. Its description in RNAcentral is "partial 16S ribosomal RNA". It matches the Rfam family "Bacterial small subunit ribosomal RNA", at positions 354 to 796 of the family's 1533-position model. The record is from RNAcentral.
GUGGGGAAUAUUGCGCAAUGGGGGAAACCCUGACGCAGCGACGCCGUGUGAGGGAAGAAGGCUUUCGGGUCGUAAACCUCUGUCAGAAAGGAAGAACCUCCCAAGUCCGAAUAGGGCUUGGGACUGACGGUACUUUCAAAGGAAGCACCGGCUAACUCCGUGCCAGCAGCCGCGGUAAUACGGAGGGUGCAAGCGUUAAUCGGAAUCACUGGGCGUAAAGCGCGCGUAGGCCGCUUUGUAAGUCGGACGUGAAAGCCCUCGGCUCAACCGGGGAACUGCGUUGGAUACUGCGAGGCUUGAGUCCUGGAGAGGGUGGCGGAAUUCCGGGUGUAGGAGUGAAAUCCGUAGAUAUCCGGAGGAACACCGGUGGCGAAGGCGGCCACCUGGACAGGUACUGACGCUGAGGCGCGAAAGCGUGGGGAGCAAACAGGAUUAGAAACCCCUGUAGUCC